UACUGCCAGUAUGUAUUAUUAGGCGCCAUGUGUUAGGUGCCCCCUUCGUUAUUGAUUUUUUCUAAAUUUUAUUGGAUUUUACUAGGAUAUUUGAAGAAGAGUACAAUUAACUCUCAAACAUGAUUCGAUCCAUAUUUUGACGCCAAAACCAUAGCCAAUUGGAUUUUCGAUCUUAUAGAAGAAAAGUACAUAGUCAACGACAAAGCUCAUGUGAAGACCAUCAAAACGUUUGGAAUUGAAGAAUAUUCCCUGGAAAAGUGGAUGGAAAUGGCAUUUGACUAUUGAAAACAGAUUUGAUUGUGCAUUAUUGAUAUUUGAUUUGAAAUAAAGUUGGUUAACUUUGAAAUA
Molecule: long non-coding RNA, 348 nt
Organism: Caenorhabditis elegans
Lineage: Eukaryota; Metazoa; Nematoda; Chromadorea; Rhabditida; Rhabditidae
Gene: C16C4.19
Product: ncRNA
Source: Ensembl